This is a long non-coding RNA of Hordeum vulgare subsp. vulgare (domesticated barley), 134 nucleotides long. RefSeq lists it as uncharacterized. Lineage: Eukaryota; Viridiplantae; Streptophyta; Magnoliopsida; Poales; Poaceae. The record is from RefSeq and is a predicted model, not a curated record. The transcript is spliced from 2 exons.
GGAAAACCAAAAAAGUUUGGGUAGAGCCGGAUCUAAGUGUUGGCUAGGUAAACGCCCCGUAGUAAGAGGGGUAGUUAUGAACCCUGUGGACCACCCCCAUGGGGGCGGUGAAGGGAAAGCUCCCAUUGGUAGAA